Molecule: ribosomal RNA, 1041 nt
Filed under: uncultured archaeon
Lineage: Archaea
Description: bacterial SSU rRNA
Rfam family: Archaeal small subunit ribosomal RNA
Source: RNAcentral
CGUUUGAUCCUGGCGGAGGCCACUGCUAUCGGAGUUCGAUUAAGCCAUGCGAGUCGAGAGGUGAAAGACCUCGGCAUACUGCUCAGUAACACGUGGACAAUCUACCCUACGGUGAGGGAUAACCCCGGGAAACUGGGGCUAAUACCUCAUAGACUAUGAAUGCUGGAAUGCUUCGUAGUUCAAAGGUCAGCCGCCAUAGGAUGGGUCUGCGGCCGAUUAGGUAGUUGUUGGGGUAACGGCCCAACAAGCCUGUAAUCGGUACGGGUUGUGGGAGCAAGAGCCCGGAGAUGGAUUCUGAGACACGAAUCCAGGCCCUACGGGGCGCAGCAGGCGCGAAAACUUUACAAUGCGGGAAACCGUGAUAAGGGAACUCCGAGUGCCCGUUAAAUCGGGCUGUCCACCAGUUUAAAAAACUGGUGAAGAAAGGGCCGGGCAAGACCGGUGCCAGCCGCCGCGGUAAUACCGGCGGCUCGAGUGGUGGCCACUAUUACUGGGCUUAAAGCGUUCGUAGCUGGUCUGUUAAGUCUCUGGGGAAAUCUACCGGCUUAACCGGUAGGCGUCUCAGGGGUACUGGCAGACUAGGGACCGGGAGAGGUGAGGGGUACUCCAGGGGUAGGAGUGAAAUCCUGUAAUCCUUGGGGGACCACCUGUGGCGAAGGCGCCUCACCAGAACGGCUCCGACAGUGAGGGACGAAAGCUGGGGGAGCAAACCGGAUUAGAUACCCGGGUAGUCCCAGCUGUAAACGAUGCGCGUUAGGUGUAUCGGUGACCACGAGUCACCGAGGUGCCGAAGAGAAAUCGUGAAACGUGCCGCCUGGGAAGUACGGUCGCAAGGCUGAAACUUAAAGGAAUUGGCGGGGGAGCACCACAACGGGUGGAGCCUGCGGUUUAAUCGGACUCAACGCCGGAAAACUCACCGGACAAGACAGCUGAAUGAUAGUCGGGCUGAAGACUCUACUUGACUAGCUGAGAGGAGGUGCAUGGCCGUCGUCAGUUCGUACUGUGAAGCAUCCUGUUAAGUCAGGCAACGAGCGAGACCCA